RNAcentral lists this long non-coding RNA (1868 nucleotides) under Anser cygnoides (Swan goose). Its description in RNAcentral is "lncRNA (ENSACDG00005005488.1)". Lineage: Eukaryota; Metazoa; Chordata; Aves; Anseriformes; Anatidae. The record is from RNAcentral.
UCAAAGAUUAUUGAGAGUGGCCUCAAAAAGACAGCUCCCCCAGCAGUCAGGAGUGCAUCCCGUCUGGGCCCAUGGGCUGAUGUAGGUCCACUUUGCUUAAAUAUUCCUGGACCCGAUCCUCUCAUACUAUGGAUACAUCUUUAUUGCUCAAAGUUAAGUCCUUACCUCUUGUAUUUGGGAUUUUUCCUGACCUUUCAUUUUAUCACUAUCCCUUGGCAUUUUACAGAUGUUCAAAGAGUAUCUCAGGAAUGUGAAGAGAACUCCUUCCUUCAUGAACUCUGUUUUCCUCUCACACAGUUCUGGAUGCUUAGUAGAGAAGUAGAGCCAUGUGGGAGCAGUUCUUGAAGAGCUGCAGCCCGUGGGAAGGCCACGUGGGAUCAGUCCGGGCUGGUUUUACUGGCCAGCUCUACAAAGCCUGCCCUUCUCAAUGGCUUCAUGGAUGAUGUCCAUCACCUGCCCUGCACAGCAUUUCUGAGUAGCAAGAUCUCUCCCUGGAGGAACAGUCAGGCCAGGAAGGACAACUAACAAGCCUCAUUCUGCUCCCAAGAACCUGACUGAGCUGAAAAAGACUGGCAGUCUUGAAAAUCAGCCUGGUCUUAUAUGAGUAUAACAAACCUGGGAGCCCUAGACCUGCUCUAAGCAAGGAGAGACAGAGUCCUUCUUGGGAAAUGGACUUGGCAUUGAUAAAAACUGGUGGAAGAAGCUAGAGCAGAACACAGGUCACCCAGAAGUCACCUAUUGGAGAUGGCAAGGCGGACAAGAGGGGUAGGGACAGGCAGCAGUUUGGGCAUCUGUCCAUUUAUAAUUGUAGAAGUGAAGCAGGUUUGAGCCAUGGUUGUGAGAACCUGAAUAGUCCCAUCAUGAAGAGGGUACUUAGUGGUCUUCCUUUGAGGUACACGUAACAUCCUUCUGGUGGAAGAACAGCGAAUUUGAAAGCAGUGCAACCGUUCCUUUAGGAGUUCAGCUGCUUCUCAUCCAAGGCCAACUUUGAUGUAGCACAGCCGAGUGAAUUUCAUUCAGUUUUAUCAAAAACAUCAUCAAGAUUUGAAAAAAAAAAUGCAUAACUAAGCUUUACCACUUAAGGAAAAAACAAAACAACAAAAUGCAGAAGUGAGGCUAUUGAGAUCCUAGCAGUUAGAAGCGUAAUGAUUAAAGGAGAGUUCUGAUAUGAAAUGUAAAAAAUUCUAAAAAACAAAUCAGGAGAUUAGAGACAGCAACUCAGCAACACAGGAUCUCUGUUCCACCGAGUGAUGGAAGGCAGCCUCUCGCCACGUGACUGAUGACUUCCCAAAAAGCAGAGUCAGAAGGUAUCUCAUCUGGGACAGAGAGCAUUUUGCUUAGCCCAGUAGUUCAAUAGUCCUGGCUACGUGUUUGUUAUGUACUGGCCAACAAGUAAUUGGGUUUUGCUCUUCAACUGUGUUUAUCCCAUUUGAAGAGUUUCUACUUAGAUGGUAAAAGCUACCUGAACAAAACAACCUCUGACACCCUCAUCCGGGCACUAUAAAACUCAGUAUCUUCAAGGAGGUGACAUAAAAGUUUAUAAGUACUAGUAAAUUAAGCUUGGAACUUCAGAGGAACAUAUUCAGCUCUCAGCUCCACAUGAGUAUUUAGCCUAGGAGAACUUUUUCUAGUUUUUAAAGAUUCACAAGUAAUUGGAGCUCCUGAUGAAAAAAAUGUGAGUAGAUGACAGAAAAGACAGAAAAGAAACAGAGAAGAUAGCUGGUAGUGAAAGAUACAGAACCGAGUGGAAGAACUUAUCCGCACCUUGAGAUGAUGAAUAUUCAGCAUAUUUUAUCAUGCAUACCUAAAGGCUAAAGAGACACUCUUUGGUUCAUCAAAAAAUAAAAAUAAAAGAUCUGCUAAAUGCA